This 395-nucleotide unclassified non-coding RNA is filed under the name uncultured fungus. Its description in RNAcentral is "sequence contains ITS1". The stretch from base 1 to 105 matches the Rfam family "5.8S ribosomal RNA", at positions 50 to 154 of the family's 154-position model. The record is from RNAcentral. Lineage: Eukaryota; Fungi.
GAAAUGCGAUACGUAGUGUGAAUUGCAGAAUUCCGUGAAUCAUCGAAUCUUUGAACGCAUAUUGCGCUCGAGGCUUCGGCCGAGAGCAUGUCUGCCUCAGCGUCGGGUUAAUAUCGCCCCUCCCCCUCCCCUGUCACACGUAAAAGUGUGAUGCGAGAGGGCGGCGGUGGCGGACCUGGUUGUUCCAGCGAGCGGGCCUCUCACGAGACCCGAUCAGCGAGCUGGAUCAGCUGAAGUUCAGAGGUUAGCUCAAGGACCCGUCAAGGGCCGCAACUGGGUAGGCAGCUCACGCUCGCUUCUAGUUGUUGGCUUGGGACCAUGGGCUCGACCCUCAAACAGGAAAAUUAACCUAUUUUCUCGACCUGAGCUCAGGCAAGAACACCCGCUGAACUUAA